UAUGUCAAUUGAAUCAGGUUCAUGUGUUCACGAAGAGGAGAAUGAAACCCUAGCUAAUUUCCUUUCCCGUGCCUCCAUAUCUAAACCCCCAAUUCAAUCUUCACUUGAAUUGUAAUCAUGCUAUCUUUUUCUUUUCUUUUUUGAGAUAUAUAUUUCUCACCGAGGCUCCGCGGAUAAUACUAUGUUGCCCUGGUUGACAGCUUGGACACAGAGGAUUGAUGAGCUGGUGGAUGGUCCAAAUUCCCGUCUCAUGGACUCAAUUGUGUUGGAUAACUGAGAAAAGAGGCUCGAGGACAUCUUUGAUAGAUACCCUCAUGAAAAAUUGAUGUUGCCUUGGCUGACACUGUCCAACAAUAUCCCUUAAAAAUCAAGCCGUUCAAAGACUUGGCGAAAGGAAUGAGAAUGGACACGUGGAAAACUAGUUAUGAGAACUACGAAGAGCUUGAACUGUAUUGCUACUAUGUAGAAGGAACCGGUGGCUUAAUGAGUGUUCCGGUAGCAGGAAUUUAACCAGAUUCUGCAAGUUCCACAUAAAGCAUUUAUAAAGCCACUCUUUCAUUGAGUACCGCAUUACAACUAACAUCCUAAAAGAUGUAGCAGAAUAGUAAGCUUUCUUCGAAUUACUGUAAGGAAUUUUGACUUGGCAGGCUGUUUUUGUGUUCAUCCAAACUAACAGUUCCUGUUUUUUCAAUAUAGUGCUUUAAGGGGGAGAGUAUACUUGUAUAGUUGGACAGGUUCGUAUAGUAGACACCUAGAAGGCAAUACUUGUCUAGUAUUAGUAUACAAACAGGGGGGAGGUGAGGUUAGAAGCAAAUAUGUAAAGAGUUGAGGGAAAAAGGAAAAAAGGACUUCUAAACUGAAGAAGUAAUAGGAGGACUUGACACUCAACAGAAGCUUAAUACUAAGGCCCUACUAGCUUCUAGUUUGCAGUUCAUGUGAAAGAGUUUAGUUAAUAGCUGAAAGUUGAUACCAAUAACUUAAUAAAGUGUAGUAAAUUACCAUUUGCGGCUAGUGAUUAGUAACAAAAACUAGAGACAUGUACAUUUAACUCUCACAUACAAUUGUAUCAGCUACUUUUUAAGAAACAUGUUUUUGAAUUCAUCAUUUGAUUUUGGUUUCUUGUCAUCACUUUCAACAGCUUUUGGUUUGAUCUCGGUUAAACCAAGAGGCCUGACAUUGCGUGGAACUGCAAAUGUGUUUUUUCCCUUGAGUUGGACUCCAUCAUUGUUACGCACCUCACUAGAGGUCGGCUGAUCACCAGAUGGAUCAAAAGAAUGGCUUCUCUUGGUUCUUGCCUGAUCGAUCUCCAGGCCAUAUCUUUGGACCUGAUUGAUUUUUUCUUUUAGAAGGAUCUGAUCUGACAAUGCUCAAUUUAUUCUUCAGCAACCAUUGUUUGUUCUUUACCACAACAGCCUCAAGGUGUGCAUCAUCACAGAAAUCCACAUAUGCAAGACCCCUUGAUUUCCCAGUAUGCAAGGCCCCUCGCUGUAUUAUUGUUCCUGCUCAGCUUGGUUCAAACUUUAAACACAAUUUCUACUUCCUCCAUACUAAAACAGAGUAUGGUGAGCUAAAUGGAGAAUAAAUGUAGAUCUAACAAAUGAGACGGUGGAGGCUCUUGUUUGUUUUUGAGUUAUUUUGUAAUUUACAGUAAUGUUGAAUUUGUUUAUAUGGAUUUUUAUUUUAUGCAUUAUUUCAUUAAAAACACUAAAUUAAUUAGUGAACGACUAUUUUGUAAUGCAUGUGUCCUAUGGGCA
Spinacia oleracea (spinach) is the source of this 1754-nucleotide long non-coding RNA. RefSeq lists it as uncharacterized. The record is from RefSeq and is a predicted model, not a curated record. NCBI's taxonomy places the organism in Eukaryota, Viridiplantae, Streptophyta, Magnoliopsida, Caryophyllales, Amaranthaceae. The transcript has 3 exons.